ACAAUGCGGAACAAUGUUUUGCAAUUGGAUUGAGAACAACGUACAAACCUUAUCGAUAAACAAUUGGAGGGCAAGUCUGGUGCCAGCAGCCGCGGUAAUUCCAGCUCCAAUAGCGUAUAUUAACGUUGUUGCAGUUAAAAAGCUCGUAGUUGAAAUGAAGGGUAGUUGUGUAAUGAAUACAUUCGUGUAUUUUGUUAUUCUACUACCCUCCUUCUAAAUUCGAUAUAUGAGUAUUAAUUUACUUGUAUAUGGUUUUAGACAUUUACUGUGAGAAAAUUAGAGUGUUCAAAGCAGGCAUUUGCUUGAAUAUAUUAGCAUGGAAUAAUCAUGUAUGAUUUUCAUGAUGUAUUUGAUUGGUUUGGUUCAUGAGAAUAAGAUUAAAAGGGACAGUUGGGGGUAUUCAUAUUCAAUAGUCAGAGGUGAAAUUCUCGGAUUUAUGGAAGAUGAAC
This 449-nucleotide ribosomal RNA is filed under the name Blastocystis sp. RNAcentral's name for it is "bacterial SSU rRNA". It matches the Rfam family "Eukaryotic small subunit ribosomal RNA", at positions 477 to 940 of the family's 1831-position model. The record is from RNAcentral. Lineage: Eukaryota; Bigyra; Opalinata; Blastocystidae.